RNAcentral lists this ribosomal RNA (775 nucleotides) under uncultured Neocallimastigales. RNAcentral describes it as "partial large subunit ribosomal RNA". It matches the Rfam family "Eukaryotic large subunit ribosomal RNA", at positions 23 to 620 of the family's 3401-position model. Lineage: Eukaryota; Fungi; Neocallimastigomycota; Neocallimastigomycetes; Neocallimastigales. The record is from RNAcentral.
AGAGAGAGACAUGCGCGCAUAUCAAUAAGCGGAGGAAAAGAAACUAACAAGGAUUCCCUUAGUAACGGCGAGUGAAGCGGGAAGAGCUCAAAUUUGAAAUCUUCAAGGUUUUACCUUGACGAAUUGUAGUUUAAAGAAGUGUUUUCUGCUGAAGUUUUGGUAAAAGUUCUUUGGAAUAGGACAUCAUAGAGGGUGAGAAUCCCGUAUUUGACCAUUAUUUUCAGCUUUGUGAUACACUUUCAAAGAGUCGGAUUGUUUGGGAAUGCAGUCCAAAAUGGGUGGUAAAUUUCAUCUAAAGCUAAAUAUUGGCGAGAGACCGAUAGCGAACAAGUACCGUGAGGGAAAGAUGAAAAGAACUUUGAAAAGAGAGUUAAACAGUACGUGAAAUUGUCAAAAGGGAAGCGUUUGACACCAGUGUUGUUUUCUCGAAAAUCAAUUAAAAAUGGCUCGAUUUUGUAUUGCUUGAGACCUUAAAAGCUCACUGUACAUCUUUCGUGUCUUUUUUAAUGCACUUUUCGUUUAACAAGUCAACAUCAGUUUCUUUUGUUGUAAAAGGGUCAUUGGAAGGUGGCUUUCUUUUCGGAGAAAGUGUUUAUAGCCUUUGGCCUCUGCAAUCGGAGAGACUGAGGUCUGCAGCGUAGACUCUUCGGGGUUAGAUACAUUUGUGCUAAGUUAUAGCUUUUUAUAGACAACUUGUUGACUAUAAUUAGUCUUGUAGCUUACUCGCUUAUGCUAUUUUACCUACGCUUAGGAUGUUGAAGAUGUAGCACAUCAU